GGAAAUACACACUCGAUGUACUCCAUACGUUCUAACCAUUGCAUCAUGCAUGUAUAUUGUAUAUUAUGUAUAGUCUCGUAGGAAUAGUCUUUGUUCAUUUAAAUAAACUCGUUUUAUUUGUUUUUAGAACCCCCUGCCUUAGAAAUCCCAAUAUUUAGUGCACCACUCGAAAGCAGAACUACCGCUACUUCACUGCAGGCACAUGUCGUUUGCAGCAUGCAUCUUCAAAAUGAAACUAAUAACAGAAAAGAUGCUCGUUUUAUUGAUGAGUUCUACGAUCAUCCUCCAUCGACAGGCAGCUACAGAGCGGCAUCCAUUCCGGAACCUCCAUAUCUACAGACGGUGACCAGCGCAUCUAAAGAACAUCUGUAUGACGAAAUACCUUGUUGGAAGCACGCUUCAGAAAAUAACGCAUUAAUAUUAGACAAACUGUCACACUAUGCUAACACUCCUUCCCACACAAAUAGUGGAUCGAUAAGGAAAAUUUGAGUAUUGUGUAUAUUUAGUUUUUAAUUUUACUCACACAGUCACACGUGCUUUUAAGUUGUAUAACAUAAUGUAGCCUACCCUAAAUUCCGUAAAAAAAAAACUAAAAGCCUA
Photinus pyralis (common eastern firefly) is the source of this 600-nucleotide long non-coding RNA. RefSeq lists it as uncharacterized. The record is from RefSeq and is a predicted model, not a curated record. NCBI's taxonomy places the organism in Eukaryota, Metazoa, Arthropoda, Insecta, Coleoptera, Lampyridae. The transcript has 2 exons.